Molecule: ribosomal RNA, 550 nt
Filed under: uncultured bacterium
Lineage: Bacteria
Description: partial 16S ribosomal RNA
Rfam family: Bacterial small subunit ribosomal RNA
Source: RNAcentral
UGGGGAAUUUUGGACAAUGGGGGAAACCCGUGAUCCAGCCAUCCCCGCCGUGUGCGAUGAAGGCCUUCGGGUUGUAAAGCACUUUUGGCAGGAAAGAAACGUCGCGGGUUAAUACCCCGCGAAACUGACGGUACCUGCAGAAUAAGCACCGGCUAACUACGUGCCAGCAGCCGCGGUAAUACGUAGGGUGCAAGCGUUAAUCGGAAUUACUGGGCGUAAAGCGUGCGCAGGCGGUUCGGAAAGAAAGAUGUGAAAUCCCAGAGCUUAACUUUGGAACUGCAUUUUUAACUACCGGGCUAGAGUGUGUCAGAGGGAGGUGGAAUUCCGCGUGUAGCAGUGAAAUGCGUAGAUAUGCGGAGGAACACCGAUGGCGAAGGCAGCCUCCUGGGAUAACACUGACGCUCAUGCACGAAAGCGUGGGGAGCAAACAGGAUUAGAUACCCUGGUAGUCCACGCCCUAAACGAUGUCAACUAGCUGUUGGGGCCUUCGGGCCUUGGUAGCGCAGCUAACGCGUGAAGUUGACCGCCUGGGGAGUACGGUCGCAAGAUU